AGUCCGUGAUGCGGGCAUUGCCUGAACAUGUUUUUGAAUCUAUCCCAUGCCUCAAAUAAUGAUUCUGAAUUUGAUUGUCUGAAACUUGCUAUUACAUUCCUCAUAUG
Molecule: small nucleolar RNA, 107 nt
Organism: Zingiber officinale
Lineage: Eukaryota; Viridiplantae; Streptophyta; Magnoliopsida; Zingiberales; Zingiberaceae
Source: RefSeq, a predicted model, not a curated record